GGAUUGGGAUAUUCCGACUCCUUAAGGGCCUGGCGCACAUAAGGUGUGACCUUUUCAUUCCCGUUGUUAUGGAGGUAGGCUCUCUAGGAAUCUGGGAGUAGUAGCUGGGGGGCAAGAGCAAAUAAAGAGCUCGAGCUUCUGUGGUCUCUGGGGAGAUGUUCCCGGGAAGCCUGUCUAGAGGGCGGAGGGCAGCUGUUGAGAUGGCGUGGCUCCCCGGCUCCUGCGCCCGCGUGGCUUUCGCGGCGGGCGCUGCGGCCCGGUAUUGGACAGCCUGGCAGGGCAGCGCGGGGCCGAAUCCGGCUGCCGUGGCUGAGGCUCAUGGAUCACUCUUUUGUGGUAGGGCCACAUCUGCCAGAGCCUGGAGUCUGCGAAGGCCGGGACCCGGUUCCCCGGCCCACAGUGGGGGUGUGCAAACCCGAGAGAACUGGGUUGCAAAUUCGUGAAGAAUCAGCAUCAUGUUUGGCAGCUGAGUAUUGGAGCCAGGAGCCUGCCAUGAGGUUUUGAGAACAGAGUGCUGUUUUAGAGCUGGCAGCAGCAUCUCAGCCCAAGAGAAGGCAUGACUCCACAGUUUCUGCAACAACAGAGCCGGGGAAAGGAGGACGCAGCAAGCGCUGAAUAUUAACCAGCAAAGGUAGAUGCUUCAAUAUCGAAACCACCGGGACCCGCAUGUGCAAAGCUACUUAAUGAGGGUGUAAUCAAACACAGUCUACCAGAAGGAAAUUAAUUAGAGUCCGGAGAGCAAGCAGGAAGCAGAACCAGGCUGCUCCCCCUCCUGGCUCUAGAACAUCACUGGCAGCCACUGCUAAGGGAGGGACAAGGCUGGGGGAUGCCAGGCCUCAGCUGGGUGCCAGGGCUCCUGUCCUCUUCCCCGUGACAUUCCGGCUUGCCUUUGGGGGACACC
This 901-nucleotide long non-coding RNA is filed under the name Homo sapiens (human). Its description in RNAcentral is "non-protein coding LRRC75A-AS1:17". Lineage: Eukaryota; Metazoa; Chordata; Mammalia; Primates; Hominidae. The record is from RNAcentral.